UUCCUUCUCUCUGGACCCUUAAUUGAAAUGGGCCCCAAUCUGCCGUCGGACGCGACCAUCUUCCGGUCGAAGCUCCCCGACAUCGAGAUCCCUGACCACCUCCCCCUCCACGCCUACUGCUUCCAACACCUCGCCGCCCACCGCGACCGCCCCUGCCUCAUCGACUCCGCCACCGGCACCACUUUGACAUACGCCGACGUCGAUCUCCUUUCCCGCCGCGCCGCUGCAGGCCUACACAGCCUCGGCCUCCGCCCCGGCGGAGUCCUCAUGCUCCUCCUCCCCAACUGCCAAGCCUUCGCCCUCGCCUUCCUCGCCGCCUCCCGCCUCGGCGCCAUCGUCACCACCGCCAACCCCUUCCACACCCCGGCCGAGGUCGCCAAGCAGGCGGCCGCCUCCGCCGCCCGCGUCGUCCUCACCGAGUGCUGCCACGUCCCCAAGGUCGCCGAUCUCAAUAUUCCCAUCAUCUGCGUCGAUGGACCCCUCCCCGACGGCUGCAUCCCCUUCUCCGACGUUCUCUCCGCCGACGAGGCGGCGGCGCCGGAGGUGGAGAUCGACCCAGACGCCGUGGUGGCUCUCCCCUACUCCUCCGGCACCACCGGGCUCCCCAAAGGAGUCAUGCUCACGCACCGAGGGCUGGUGACCAGCGUGGCCCAGCAGGUGGACGGCGACAACCCCAACCUCUACUUCCAUGAAGAAGACGUCAUUCUCUGCGUGCUGCCGCUCUUCCACAUAUACUCUUUGAACUCCGUACUGCUGUGCGGGCUGAGGGUGGGGGCGGCGCUACUGAUAAUGAGGAAGUUCGACGUGGCGGUGCUGAUGGAGCUGGUGGAGAGGUACAAGGUGACGAUAGCGCCGUUCGUGCCGCCGAUAGUGGUGGAGAUGGUGAAGAGCCCGGCGGUGGACCGCUACGACCUGUCCUCAAUUCGGACGGUGAUGUCCGGGGCGGCGCCCAUGGGGAAGGAGCUGCAGGACAAGCUCAUGGCCAAGAUACCGAAUGCCAAGCUCGGGCAGGUAUGUAAUGGAUGGGGCAUUUUUCUUGGCAUUGCUGUCGGUCUCCAUUAAAUUUACAAUUGAUGAUCUAGUUUGCGAUGGGUUAAUUUUAUCUUGUGUUUAAUUAAACAAUUGGUGAUUCUAACUUUUUUGAAAAAUAAUUGUUGGGUGCUUGAUAGAUCGCGAGCUUAGAUCAAAUCGUUCUUUUUCCGAGAAGUGGGAGCUUAGACUAAAUCAUAUCAACACUAGGGACAUUAGAUAGUAAUUUAAUUAUGUCAUAUAAAUCGUGAGAUUACUGAUUAUGUUCCCAGCUAUUUUUUGUCUAGUUAAAUCACGCAGUACUUUGGUGGGUCCCACCAAUCAGUGACCGGUUGCCCGGAACACGGUGGAUCCUGGCUGAGCAGCCGAUGCUCUAUCAUAUCAUGCUAGCGACCAAUGUUAGUGGGACCAACUAUAAUUUGUAGUUGAGUCUAAUCCACCGACAAACUAAUCGAAAAAUCGAAUGAUGAAAUAACAUAAGAAUAUNNNNNNNNNNNNNNNNNNNNNNNNNNNNNNNNNNNNNNNNNNNNNNNNNNNNNNNNNNNNNNNNNNNNNNNNNGUAUUUUUAUAUGUUGCUUUAUGAUUGAACUGAUCCACCAACUAAUUGGUGUGAAGGAUUUGAUCCAACCAAUAAUUACUUCAUCGAAAUAAUAGCAAAAAAGAAUUAAAAAACUAAGAGUAUACCUAUAUUCCAAAUUUUGAAAGAUUGUAUCUUAGCAUAAUAGUAAAUUACUUUCUUAUAAUUUGAUUGUCACUAUUCAAUAUAGGUGCGGUCUUUUUACACUGUAGUAGAUUCUAAAUUUGAUGUCUUUUCCGGAGGGGAAGGACGGGUGGGGGUCCUGCGGUUUGUAAACUUCGAUCUAUCAAUCUUUUAAAUGCUCGAACUAGGCCAAAGAUCGAUAUGGUAUAUCUUUUAUAGUAAAAUUUAGUUUAAAACGCUCGAAUUCUGAUUCAUCUCUGCUAGUGUCCGUUGCUUUCAUAUGCCCCUGCAGUCAUUCAGUUGUUUUCUGACAAAUUUGUCGCGGAAAGCUACGGGAAAGAGCAGCUAAUUAUGCCAUACAUUUAAUGCGAAAAUGGCUGGCAACUAAACUUAGGGUAUUUGGCUGAAAAAUCUCACAGGGCUACGGAAUGACCGAAGCUGGGCCAGUUCUCUCCAUGUGUCUAGCAUUUGCGAAGGAGCCGUUUGAUGUCAAAUCAGGAUCAUGUGGCACCGUUGUGAGGAACGCUGAGCUCAAGAUAUUAGAUCCUGAGACUGGACUAUCCCUGCCUCGGAACCAGCCUGGUGAGAUCUGCAUCAGGGGAAAGCAAAUUAUGAAAGGUAACUCUUGGAUCCUUUGUCAUCUUUUUGCUUGCUCAUUGGUUAAAGGAGCUUUGUGGUUAAUUAUAGGAAUUAAAGUAACUUGUUGACAAAUGCCAAGUUAAUCAUAUAUAUAACUUUGUUUUCAGAAAAGCUUUUCUUUUCUUUUCUUUUCUUUUCAAUGACAACGAAAAUAACCUAUUAAUGAUACAAAUAGACGCUACAAGCGAUUCUUUGGUCAUAGGUUUCGACAAAAUAUAUAUUUCUAUCCCCCCGCCAAAAAAACACCAUUAUUUGAUGCCAUGGUCCAACUACAUUAACGAGAACCUACUUUGCCAAUGCUGAUAUGAGAAGGUUGGUGCUCUCUAUCAGUCACUUUUAAUGGAUCGCAUCAAUCUAUAGCCAUGUGACAUGCCAACGGUGCUGGUAAAUGAAUUGGACCUGCCUUGUUGCACUCUAAUAAAAGCUACGUACAAAUCACAGACAUUGAUUGGCCCCUCUAGCAAAAGAAAAUUCUAUAUAAUUUUUAGAUUUUUUUUUCAUGCAUACAUUUCUAAAUAUCAAAAUUUACAUAAAUAUCAUUUCAAAAUUGAUAUUUGCAUGUAUAUUCCCGUAAAAUACUUCUUUUGCUCUUCUGCCAUUUUUUGUCCGUGUUUUUGCAUGCGUAUCCGUGCCAUCUAAUACCGUUAAAAAAUUAAGGGCUUCUAAAUUAAAAUGAUUAAAAUAUUUUUAAUGAGUAAAUGUGCAAAAAGAAAAUAUUUAUAAGACAAUUACGGUAGAGGACAAAAAAUAAUUUUAAAAUUUUAUUUUAUUUUUUAUUAAAAUAAAUGUGGUUUUUAUUAAGGGUGUUUGAAGACUCGUUAUAUUAAGGAUAUUUGUGUAAAAAUAAUAUUUUAUGAGGGUACAAAAAUAAAUAUAAUUUUAAAAAAAAUAUUUACAUAAAUUUGGUUUUUUGAGAAGUAUAUUUAUAUAAAAAAUCUUAAUUUUUAAUAGCCAUCUUGAAUAGCUUUCCACAUGCAUAUGCCAUGCCAUAUGCAGUAUACAUUAGUUGGUGGUUGACCAUCUCUUUUGAUAGUCGCCAUCGAAAGCUGUCCAGCAUUGUGUGUAUGCGGUGAGAAUCCUAGUUGGCCACAACAUAGAUGUAAUUAAAAAAUAUGUAAGACAUCCACGUCACCAUUCCAUGUCUCAAAACGCGGAACUAACCAAAAAAAAAAAAAUCAAACAGUGGGACCGCAUUCUCCCGGCCGACACUCAUCAUUCAGCGCUACCGGACAACAUUCUUUAGCAAAAAGAGCCACGGGAUAAUAUUGUAAAGCAAAUUAAAUAUCUCUGGUUACAGCUUGCUUGCUCUCCAAAAAAUUCGAUCCUUAUUUGCUUGGAAGUUUUUCCUAUGAAAUUUCUCGGAAAGUACGUACGCGAUCACAAGCCCUGUAUUAUCUGGCCCGUUUGCAGCCUUAUCAUUAUCAAAGAUUCUCUGUUUUGAUCUCGCUGCAAUCAGACCUUUGAGCAGCCUAGCUCGAGGUGGAACCAUCUAUCCUAUGCUAUGAUGAUUACUGUCAAAGAAGCUUGAUGGGCUUGGCCAUGGGUUUGCUUUUAAAAAAGAAGAAGAAAGGGGUCAUACUAACUUUAUCUUGUUGUAAUUAUUUAGGUUAUCUGAAUGAUCCGGAGGCAACGGAACGGACCAUAGACAAAGAAGGUUGGCUGCAUACUGGGGAUAUUGGGUACGUGGAUGAUGACGAGGAGAUCUUCAUAGUGGACAGGCUAAAAGAGCUCAUCAAAUACAAAGGGUUCCAAGUGGCCCCUGCUGAGCUCGAAGCCAUGCUCAUCGCCCACCCCAACAUAGCCGAUUCUGCCGUAGUCUCGUAAGUGGUGCACCUUAAUCACGGUCCGAUUUUGCUCAUAGCGUCUUAUUUUUUCCAGCCACCAAUUCGCUUAUGUAUCACUCCAAUUUCAUUUUGAUGAUUUCCAGAAUGAAGGAUGAUCUCUGUGGGGAGCUCCCGGUGGCAUUUGUCGUGCGAUCAGGUGGCUCGGAAAUCACGGAAGACGAGAUCAAACGAUACAUCUCCAAACAGGUGAGAUGCCCAACUAAUUACACAAUUUAAGAGCUCAGCUAUAAUGACCUGGCAUAUAAUACAUCCAACGUAACCUAACGGGUCCCUUAUGGAAGCAAAUGGGCCGGCCCACGGAAUCAAUUUGGAGGGAAUAAUAAAAAGUAUACCGGAAGCGAUUGGCUUUUUUAACGGAAUUAGCUGUUCUUUGGCAUCAUUUGAUUGGCGACACAAGUGGGAGGGGACAAGGAAAGGAAAUAGAGUUCGACCUACUUUGGAAUUCUUGAUGAUAUAUAUAUAUAUAUAUAUUUUAAUCACAAAGGUAAAAUUAAACUGAACCAAAUCUUUUCCUUCUCUCUGGACCCUUAAUUGAAAUGGGCCCCAAUCUGCCGUCGGACGCGACCAUCUUCCGGUCGAAGCUCCCCGACAUCGAGAUCCCUGACCACCUCCCCCUCCACGCCUACUGCUUCCAACACCUCGCCGCCCACCGCGACCGCCCCUGCCUCAUCGACUCCGCCACCGGCACCACUUUGACAUACGCCGACGUCGAUCUCCUUUCCCGCCGCGCCGCUGCAGGCCUACACAGCCUCGGC
Molecule: long non-coding RNA, 4967 nt
Filed under: Phoenix dactylifera (date palm)
Lineage: Eukaryota; Viridiplantae; Streptophyta; Magnoliopsida; Arecales; Arecaceae
Description: long non-coding RNA (PDAC_LNC004601)
Source: RNAcentral